Molecule: transfer RNA, 85 nt
Filed under: Desulfovibrionaceae bacterium
Lineage: Bacteria; Pseudomonadati; Thermodesulfobacteriota; Desulfovibrionia; Desulfovibrionales; Desulfovibrionaceae
Description: tRNA-Leu
Rfam family: tRNA
About the family: Transfer RNA (tRNA) molecules are approximately 80 nucleotides in length. Their secondary structure includes four short double-helical elements and three loops (D, anti-codon, and T loops).
Source: RNAcentral
GCGAGAGUGGCGGAAUUGGCAGACGCACCAGACUUAGAAUCUGGCGUAGAGAUACGUGUGAGUUCAAGUCUCACCUUUCGCACCA